GAGGGUAUAGCUCAGUGAUAGAGUGCAUGCUUUAGCAUGUAUAAGGUCAUGGGUUCGAUCCCCAGUACCUCUG
RNAcentral lists this transfer RNA (73 nucleotides) under Camelus bactrianus (Bactrian camel). It matches the Rfam family "tRNA". Rfam says of the family: Transfer RNA (tRNA) molecules are approximately 80 nucleotides in length. Their secondary structure includes four short double-helical elements and three loops (D, anti-codon, and T loops). RNAcentral also lists the same sequence under 2 other names. Lineage: Eukaryota; Metazoa; Chordata; Mammalia; Artiodactyla; Camelidae. The record is from Rfam by way of RNAcentral.